CAUUAUUGAAUAAACUUGGUUGGGUUGUUGCUGGCCCCUCGGGGCAUGUGCACACCUGGCACCAUUUUUACCACCUGUGCACCCUUUGUAGACCUGGGAUAACUGUCCGGGGAAACUCGGUUUGAGGAUCUGCCGUCAAGGCUCUCCUUGCAUUCCUGGUCUACGUCUUUACAUAUACCCCACAAGCAUGUAAUAGAAUGUCAUUGAUUGGCCUCAGUGCCUUUAAAUUGAAUACAACUUUCAACAACGGAUCUCUUGGCUCUCGCAUCGAUGAAGAACGCAGCGAAAUGCGAUAAGUAAUGUGAAUUGCAGAAUUCAGUGAAUCAUCGAAUCUUUGAACGCACCUUGCGCUCCUUGGUAUUCCGAGGAGCAUGCCUGUUUGAGUGUCAUUAAAUUCUCAACCUUUCCUGCUUUUGUUAGCUGGGCAAGGCUUGGAUGUGGGGGUCUGCAGGCUUCUCAGAAGUCAGCUCUCCUUAAAUGCAUUAGCGGAACCUUUGUCGACCAGCUCUGGUGUGAUAAUUAUCUAUGCCACUGCAAAGCGACUUUGAAUGGGGUUUGGCUUCUAAUCGUCCUUUACAAGGACAGCUCUUAUGACAUUGACCU
This 603-nucleotide ribosomal RNA is filed under the name Clitocybe subditopoda. Its description in RNAcentral is "eukaryotic LSU rRNA". The stretch from base 236 to 389 matches the Rfam family "5.8S ribosomal RNA". The record is from RNAcentral. Lineage: Eukaryota; Fungi; Basidiomycota; Agaricomycetes; Agaricales; Clitocybaceae.